RNAcentral lists this ribosomal RNA (207 nucleotides) under uncultured bacterium. RNAcentral's name for it is "partial 16S ribosomal RNA". It matches the Rfam family "Bacterial small subunit ribosomal RNA", at positions 568 to 774 of the family's 1533-position model. The record is from RNAcentral.
CACGCAGGCGGUCUUUUAAGUUUGGAGUGACAGUUCCUGGCUCAACUGGGAAAGUGCUUUGAAAACUGGAAGACUUGAGGGCUUCAGAGGGACACGGAAUUCCGGGUGGAGUGGUGAAAUGCGUAGAGAUCCGGAGGAACACCAAAGGCGAAGGCAGUGUCCUGGGGAGUACCUGACGCUCAGGUGCGAAAGCCAGGGGAGCGAACG